AGCUGCGCAGCAAGAAAUGAAGAUGGCGCCGGGAGAGGCGACCGCGCCUAAAAUCACAUCUUGUUAUCGCUGUGGAACAGGCGCUGGCUGCAGUUGCGUCACGGCGGCCCCCUCGGCCCCUCCUCCUUACGCGGGGAGUAGCUUAUAUCCUUCUUUGGAGGGGUUGGGUGGGCCGAGCGGGGAGGGCGUAGCCACGUCACCAGCGGGGAGGGACGAUCCGCCCCAAGGGGUGGAGCGAAAGGUGGAGCCGGGGUGCCCCGACUCGGCCCCUGGGCCAGCUUUGACUGACUGGGCGAGGAUAAGGGGGGAGCUUGCAACGGCAGCUCCGUCCGUGAUAGCCAUGCCCGUGGUGAUAAAAACGGGGGGACCGGCCUGGGCUCCUUUGGAGCCAAAAGUAAUUACGCGAUUAGCCGAUACAGUUAGGACCAAAGGCUUGCGAUCUCCAGUUACUAUGGCAGAAGUGGAAGCUGUAAUGUCUUCCCCGCUGCUGCCGCACGAUGUCACGAAUCUUAUGAGGGUCAUACUAGCCCCUGCUCAAUAUGCUUUGUGGUUGGACGCUUGGGACGUCCAGCUGCAGACGGUUGUAGUGGCAGCCACCCGAGACCCCAGACACCCUGCGAAUGGUCAAGGAAGAGGGGAGCGAACCAAUUUAGAUCGUUUAAAAGGCCUGGCGGAUGGAAUGGCCGGAAACCCGGAGGGCCAGGCUGCGCUUUUGAGACCGGGGGAGUUGGUCGCUACUACGGCGUCGGCUCUCCAAGCGUUCAGGGAGGUUGCCCAGUUAGCAGAACCUACUGUCCCCUGGGCAGAUAUCACACAGGGGCCAUCGGAAUCCUUUGUGGAUUUUGCUAAUCGCCUCAUAAAGGCGGUUGAGGGGUCGGACCUUCCAUCUUCAGCACGAGCCCCGGUGAUUAUUGAUUGCUUUAGACAGAAAUCACACCCGGAUGUCCAACAGCUUAUCCGAGCGGCACCCUCCACUUUAACGACACCAGGAGAGAUUAUCAAAUAUGUUCUAGACAGACAGAAGGUUACCCCACUUACAGACCAGGGAAUAGCUGCGGCUAUGUCAUCGGCCAUCCAGCCCUUGGUUAUGGCGGUAGCCAACAGAGAAAGGGACGGACAAGGUGGGCCAGGAAGCCGUGCCCGGGGAGUUUGCUAUUCCUGCGGAUCCCCAGGGCACUACCAGGCGCAAUGCCCAAAAGGAAGGGGGUCAGGAGCUGACGGUGAUCGGUGCCAACUAUGCGGCGGACUGAGGCACACCGCUAGGUCAUGCCGGAAAUUUCAACAUGCCCUGCGGGAUGAGGGUAUGGGUAGGGGCCGCCGGCCAGGGAAGGGAUCCUUCUCAGGGCUGGGGCCUACUUUAACUCGCCCUACCGUGUCAUUGGCAAU
This 1386-nucleotide long non-coding RNA is filed under the name Phasianus colchicus (ring-necked pheasant). RNAcentral's name for it is "lncRNA (ENSPCLG00000016518.1)". The record is from RNAcentral. Lineage: Eukaryota; Metazoa; Chordata; Aves; Galliformes; Phasianidae.